RNAcentral lists this ribosomal RNA (514 nucleotides) under uncultured bacterium. RNAcentral's name for it is "bacterial SSU rRNA". It matches the Rfam family "Bacterial small subunit ribosomal RNA", at positions 8 to 518 of the family's 1533-position model. The record is from RNAcentral.
AGAGUUUGAUUCUGGCUCAGGAUGAACGCUGGCGGCGUGCCUAACACAUGCAAGUCGAACGAAGCACUUCUGGUUUGAGAUUCGUCAAGAACUGGAUUGACUUAGUGGCGGACGGGUGAGUAAUGUAUGAGCAACCUGCCUUUCAGAGGGGGACAACAGUUGGAAACGACUGCUAAUACCGCAUAAUGUUUUGAGAGGGCAUCCUUUUGAAACCAAAGGAGCAAUCCGCUGAAAGAUGGGCUCAUAUCUGAUUAGUUAGUUGGUGAGGUAACGGCUCACCAAGACUGCGAUCAGUAGCCGGACUGAGAGGUUGAACGGCCACAUUGGGACUGAGAUACGGCCCAGACUCCUACGGGAGGCAGCAGUGGGGAAUAUUGGGCAAUGGGCGAAAGCCUGACCCAGCAACGCCGCGUGAAGGAAGAAGGUCUUCGGAUUGUAAACUUCUUUUAUGAGGGACGAAGGACGUGACGGUACCUCAUGAAUAAGCCACGGCUAACUACGUGCCAGCCGCGGC